This is a long non-coding RNA of Corvus hawaiiensis (hawaiian crow), 687 nucleotides long. RefSeq lists it as uncharacterized. The record is from RefSeq and is a predicted model, not a curated record. The transcript has 3 exons. Lineage: Eukaryota; Metazoa; Chordata; Aves; Passeriformes; Corvidae.
CCUCACAGGACAAACUGCAGAAGAGCAGAGAGCUGGUCCAUCGUGACUGAGCAGGGAGGGUGUUGGAGGCAGAGCACCCAGUCUGGUGCCCGUGUAGUGCAGCAGUGCCAGGCACCCCAGUGCAGGGGAGCCACUGCAGCCUGAAGCAACGCCAACAGCAAGUAGACAAAACCCAUACCUGAACGCAGAAUGGCUUCCUGCUCCAGGAAAUAAAGACACACGUCUCUAGCCUCCCAUCUCACUGGAAGACCUUCUUUCCUGCCCACGUACCCCAUCCAUGAACGUAUUCUGGCUCUUGGUAUAAUACUUCAGAAGAAACAAGACUAAAGAAAACAUGUGAAAUAAGCAAAAGUUACCAUAUUGCUGGGAUCUAUGUCAUCUUUCACUUGAGAAGCACCAGACUUCACAGGACAUGCUACAAACUCAUAAGCUCUUUCUUGAUGUGCAGGAACAUCAUCUGUAUUCUCAGUUCUAUGAUCAGCAGUCUUCAUGUGCAUUGGACAACCUUAAAUACAAGAGUAGUAUACAUUCUGCUACCAGAUGAAAACUCUAAGACGUGAAAUGGAAAAGUUCACUGAAGGCUCACAUAAAUGCAAAUGGCUAUUUCACUCUUUCUUCUGAGCUUUUCAACAGUUUUAACUGCUCUCUUUCCUGCAUCUCAGGACCCAAAAUCAUUAUAAGAUCUGA